Molecule: long non-coding RNA, 764 nt
Organism: Papaver somniferum (opium poppy)
Lineage: Eukaryota; Viridiplantae; Streptophyta; Magnoliopsida; Ranunculales; Papaveraceae
Exons: 3
Source: RefSeq, a predicted model, not a curated record
GAAAAAAUGGAAACUGUUCUUCACCGAAAUUAUUUUUCCUCUGAAAACCCUAAUUGAAUCGUUGACUCGUUAUACUUUCCUCUUUUCUAAAAACCCAUGAGCAGAACUUCGCCUCUUCCGUGGAAAUCACUUAUUAGUGGUAGCACUAUGGCAUGAUUGCGCGCGGCAUGAAAUGAAUUUGGAGGGAAUUAAAGGACCUCGAAAGAAAUCCACCUUCUUCCUGCACUGAUGAGAUGGCCAAGGCUUAGUUUGGGAAACGACAUGGAUUUAAUGGCUUUAAUCUGUUUCUGGUGCGUAGUCAAUGCGAGAAAGAGACACCCCGAGGGUGUGAAGUCCGGGCAUAUUCUGAAUUCCAGCACCUAUCAGGCUAUCACCUUAGAAUCCACGGAGGUGUUUGUGGCUCCUGGUUUUGAUGGACUUGCUGAGAAGAAUCCUUUGCAGUGGCGGUUGUUGUCGCUUUGUCAGGGAACCAAUUUAUCAUCCUCACGCCUGUUAAUCAACAAAGGACGCAUAUUAUGAACUCUAUAGUAAACUCAAUCAAUUUAAUGCAAAUCAUGCAAUUGCGUCGAUUCCAAAGGAUUGGAUUUUAGCAGAAGUCUAUUCUUAAGCAAAUAAGCAAAUAUAUAGUUUUUUGUCACCAUAAUUUUUUUGUUUUUCUUUGACUCCAGGGUUGUGUAGUUCAAGAUUAAUUAUCAUGAGUCUACAUCAUAUUUGGUACAAUCAGUUAUUUUAAGAAAUGCAUUGCAACUAUCACUUACAAAUUA